Molecule: RNA transcript, 2631 nt
Organism: Spea bombifrons (plains spadefoot toad)
Lineage: Eukaryota; Metazoa; Chordata; Amphibia; Anura; Pelobatidae
Gene name: heterogeneous nuclear ribonucleoprotein R
Exons: 13
Source: RefSeq, a predicted model, not a curated record
UGUUUUUGACAAGGGGAGGCUCGCCAUUUUACCAUCGUAGAGUAUUGAUAACGGGAUUGGGGGUGUUACAUUUUACCGGGCUCGGUGGAGUCAUUUCUGGAAAGGCUGACUGCUGCUUUUAUCAGAGGUGUUCUGAACAUCACUGCAGAUUAUCUUGUCUGAAAUCCUGUGCUACUGGGAAAGUGGAGUCUUCAAACAGAGGUCCCGGAGGAAGUCUGGAAGGCCUGGAUGCACAUGCCUGGGACUUCAGUGUGAAUUGAAGCUCCAGAGUUAUGAAACAAUAUAGGCAAAGAGAGAAGCAGGGGACCAAAGCCUUGGAGAAUGCCAAGGGUCCAGAUGAAUCAAAGAUAAAGGCACUGCUAGAAAGAACUGGCUACACAUUGGAUGUAACCACAGGGCAGAGAAAAUACGGAGGUCCUCCUCCAGAAUCCAUAUCCUCUUGUGCUCAACCUGGGAUUGGAACAGAGCAGGUGUUUGUGGGCAAGAUACCCAGGGACUUAUAUGAAGAUGAGCUGGUACCUCUUUUUGAGAAAGCAGGUCCGAUUUGGGACUUGCGUCUGAUGAUGGAUCCACUCUCUGGACAGAAUCGAGGCUAUGCUUUUAUUACUUUCUGUAAUAAGGAUGCAGCCCAAGAAGCUGUCAAAUUGUGUGAUAACUAUGAAAUACGUCCUGGAAAGCAUAUUGGCGUUUGCAUUUCUGUGGCAAACAACAGGUUGUUUGUAGGCUCUAUCCCCAAAAACAAGACAAAGGAAAAUAUUCUGGAGGAGUUCAGUAAAGUGACAGAGGGUCUGGUGGAUGUAAUCCUUUACCACCAGCCUGAUGACAAGAAGAAGAACCGUGGCUUUUGCUUUCUGGAGUAUGAAGACCAUAAAAGUGCAGCCCAGGCACGCCGCCGUUUGAUGAGUGGCAAGGUGAAAGUGUGGGGCAAUGUGGUAACUGUAGAAUGGGCAGAUCCAGUGGAGGAGCCAGACCCUGAAAUUAUGGCAAAGGUUAAAGUUCUGUUUGUGAGGAACUUGUCUUCCACAGUGACUGAAGAGAUUUUGGAAAAGGCCUUUUCAGUCUUUGGAAAGCUCGAAAGAGUGAAGAAAUUGAAGGAUUAUGCAUUUGUGCACUUUGAGGACAGGGAUGCUGCUGUGAGGGCCAUGGAUGAAAUGAACAACACAGAAUUAGAAGGGGAGGAAAUUGAAAUAGUGCUGGCAAAGCCUCCUGACAAGAAAAGAAAGGAACGACAAGCUGCACGUCAGGCUUCCCGUGGUGGUUCGUAUGAUGAUUAUUACUACUAUCCCCCUCCUCGUUUGCCACCCCCAGGAAGAGGCAGGGGACGUGGUGGCAGAGGCGGUUAUUCCUACCCCCAAGAUUAUUAUGGUUAUGAAGAUUACUAUGAUGAUUACUACUCGUAUGACUACCAUGACUACCGUGGUGGCUACGAUGAUCCAUACUAUGGGUAUGAUGAUAGCUACCCAAUGAGAGGAAGAGGCGGCAGAGGUGGCCGUGGAGGGCCCCCACCACCAAGAGGAAGACCAGCUCCUCCACAACGUGGAGGCCGCUCCAGCUAUGCCCCCAGGGGAUCUCCCAUGGGCCCACCUAGAGGAUCAAGAGGCGGAAGAGGGCCUUCUCAGCAACAGCAGCAGCGGGGCCGCAACUCACGGGGCAACCGUGGCAGUAGAGGUGGAAAUGUUGGUGGCAAAAGGAAGGCAGAUGGAUACAAUCAGCCAGACUCCAAACGCCGCCAGACAAACAACCAGCAGAACUGGGGGACCCAGCCCAUAGCCCAGCAGCCAUUGCAGCAAGGCGGUGAUUACACUGAUAUCCAGAACGUGAGACCCUGUCAGUACUGUAUAUAUUAACUACUUCCCUUUUACCUGACUAUCCGGAGAAUCUGCUGUGUCCUGAAAUGUCAUGAAUGGAGAAUAGGCUAAACCACAGUAGCUUUGGCAUCGAUUAACCCUGGAUUGUUUGGGCCUGGAAGCAUGGAUGUAAUGACGCACAGUACUUCCUGUACUACUUGUUGCUCAACUGAUAAUUUCAAGGGGUAAGUCAUCUUAAAAAAUUAAAUAAUGCUAGUCUCUCUAGGUUCCCAUUCCCCUAACUUAAUUCAUAUUUUGUGUAUAGCUCAUAGUGAAUAUUAGGCAUCAGUUAAAGCUGGCCUUAAAACUCAACUUGAAGGAGGUCAUCACAAUGAAGGGAGGGGACUCAAAGUAAAGUGCAGUGUUUGUGCAUACAACUCUCUAUUUAGCAAUAACACCACAGUUAUCUAUUUUACAAAAAGCAAAGCCUUGGUCAUUUAAGGAUAUGAUAAGUCGCCUAUGCAAAAAUGGUGGCCUUUUACUACUGCUUAUGUUUCACUCCUUUAUAUACCAUGCUUAUAUAGCAUUUAUUAUUUACAAACACAUACUAGUCAUCCAUGCUUACUUUAAAAAUGCACUACAGAUUUGUUUCUUUUUAAAGAAAAUUAUGUCCGCUAUGAUCUGUGAAACUGCAGGUGACCUAAUUAUAUAUUUUUCAUGAGUUAGCUUUAUGGUUCUUAAUGUAAUAUUACUAUACAAACAUUUUCUACAUUAGAAAAAACAAAAUGUGUCUACAGCGCUUAAGUUAUAGUGAAGCUGUAAUCUAAACUGUGAUACCCUUUAU